This 1546-nucleotide ribosomal RNA is filed under the name Tridentaria subuliphora. RNAcentral describes it as "eukaryotic LSU rRNA". The stretch from base 912 to 1546 matches the Rfam family "Eukaryotic large subunit ribosomal RNA", at positions 1 to 648 of the family's 3401-position model. Lineage: Eukaryota; Fungi; Ascomycota; Orbiliomycetes; Orbiliales. The record is from RNAcentral.
CCUUAGAUGUUCUGGGCCGCACGCGCGCUACACUGACAGGGCCAACGAGUAUAAACCUUGGCCGAGAGGUCUGGGUAAUCUUGUUAAACCCUGUCGUGCUGGGGAUAGAGCAUUGCAAUUAUUGCUCUUCAACGAGGAAUAUCUAGUAAGCGCAAGUCAUCAGCUUGCGUUGAUUACGUCCCUGCCCUUUGUACACACCGCCCGUCGCUACUACCGAUUGAAUGGCUCAGUGAGGCCUUCGGACUGGCUCAGGGAGGUCGGCAACGACCACCCAGAGCCGGAAAGUUGGUCAAACUUGGUCAUUUAGAGGAAGUAAAAGUCGUAACAAGGUUUCCGUAGGUGAACCUGCGGAAGGAUCAUUACCAAAUGUCCUUUGACAAAGCUUUGCGCCGGGUGCAAACCCGACCGGAGUGCCAACCCUUUGUGAACCAAAACAACAUCCGCUUCGGCAGCGGGCCGGCCGGGAAACCGACCGAGCCGUCAGCCUGCCGGCAGCACCCAAUUCAAAACCUGAACGAACCAAACGUCUGAAACCAUUCUGUAUCUGAAUGAAAAUUAAAACUUUCAACAACGGAUCUCUUGGUUCUCGCAUCGAUGAAGAACGCAGCGAAACGCGAUAGUUAAUGUGAAUUGCAGAAUUCAGUGAAUCAUCGAGUAUUUGAACGCACAUUGCGCCCAUUGGUAUUCCGAUGGGCACGUCUGUUUGAGCGUCAUCGCAACCCUUCGGCUCCCCUGGCUUGCCAGGAUCGCCGGUGUUGGGCUCCGCCUCGGUGCGCCUUUGCGCGCGCCGGCUGGCCUUAAAGUUGCACGCUCUGCGGGCCCCUCGGGCCAGCAAAACAUAGUAUGACCUGCUAGCUGUUUUGGCCUGGUGCCGGGUUGGGUUUUCCGCCUGAACAAACAUCUCUGAAGUUUGACCUCAGAUCAGACGAGGAUACCCGCUGAACUUAAGCAUAUCAAUAAGCGGAGGAAAAGAAACCAACAGGGAUUGCCUCAGUAACGGCGAGUGAAGCGGCAACAGCUCAAAUUUGAAAUCUGGCUCAGUCAUGCGCCCGAGUUGUAAUUUGAAGAGGAUGCCUCGGUAGCAGUCCCGGCCUAAGUUCCUUGGAACAGGACGUCGCAGAGGGUGAGAAUCCCGUACGCGGCUGAGGGCUUGCUUCCAUGUGUGGCUCCUUCGAAGAGUCGAGUUGUUUGGGAAUGCAGCUCAAAAUGGGUGGUAAAUUUCAUCUAAAGCUAAAUACUGGCGAGAGACCGAUAGCGCACAAGUAGAGUGAUCGAAAGAUGAAAAGCACUUUGAAAAGAGAGUUAAAUAGUACGUGAAAUUGUUGAAAGGGAAGCGCUUGCAAUCAGACUCACCUGCGGUUGAUCAACGUUCCUUCUGGUGCGUGCACUCUGCCGUUUGUGGGCCAGCAUCGGUCGGUGCGGCGGGACAAAGGCGUCGGGAAUGUGGCACCCCUCGGGGUGUGUUAUAGCCCGGCGUGUAAUGCCGCCUGCUGCCGACCGAGGUCCGCGGUUCGCCUAGGAUGCUGGCUUAAUGGUUGUAAGCGAC